This 191-nucleotide non-coding RNA is filed under the name Chryseobacterium sp. FH1. The record is from RNAcentral. RNAcentral also lists the same sequence under 1 other name. Lineage: Bacteria; Pseudomonadati; Bacteroidota; Flavobacteriia; Flavobacteriales; Weeksellaceae.
AUAUCUUUGCGCCAAUCUGGUGAGCCGUAAAAAGCGCUUAAUAGGGAAUCCGGUGAAAAUCCGGAGCAGACCCGCUACUGUAAGCUUCACACAAAGGUUUUUGAAAAUUGUAUCCACUGUUUGCUUGUGCGGAUGGGAAGGAUUUCAAAAACGAAGUAAGUCAGGAGACCUGCCAGAAGUUUAAUAUUUGA